RNAcentral lists this ribosomal RNA (679 nucleotides) under Cohnella sp. Y1220_1. RNAcentral's name for it is "bacterial SSU rRNA". It matches the Rfam family "Bacterial small subunit ribosomal RNA", at positions 61 to 720 of the family's 1533-position model. Lineage: Bacteria; Bacillati; Bacillota; Bacilli; Caryophanales; Paenibacillaceae. The record is from RNAcentral.
GUCGAGCGGAUCUUGUUGGUAGCUUGCUAUCAACUUGGUUAGCGGCGGACGGGUGAGUAACACGUAGGCAACCUGCCCAUAAGAUCGGGAUAACAUUCGGAAACGAAUGCUAAGACCGGAUAAACAAUUUGGCUGCAUGGCUGAAUUGGGAAACGCGGAGCAAUCUGCGGCUUGUGGAUGGGCCUGCGGCGCAUUAGCUAGUUGGUGGGGUAACGGCUCACCAAGGCGACGAUGCGUAGCCGACCUGAGAGGGUGAACGGCCACACUGGGACUGAGACACGGCCCAGACUCCUACGGGAGGCAGCAGUAGGGAAUCUUCCACAAUGGGCGAAAGCCUGAUGGAGCAACGCCGCGUGAGUGAGGAAGGCUUUCGGGUCGUAAAGCUCUGUUGCCAGGGAAGAAUAAGGAUGAGAGUAACUGCUCAUUCGAUGACGGUACCUGAGAAGAAAGCCCCGGCUAACUACGUGCCAGCAGCCGCGGUAAUACGUAGGGGGCAAGCGUUGUCCGGAAUUAUUGGGCGUAAAGCGCGCGCAGGCGGUUCUUUAAGUCUGGUGUCUAAGUGCGGGGCUCAACCCCGUGAUGCACUGGAAACUGGGGAACUUGAGUGCAGAAGAGGAGAGCGGAAUUCCACGUGUAGCGGUGAAAUGCGUAGAGAUGUGGAGGAACACCAGUGGCGAAG